This 471-nucleotide ribosomal RNA is filed under the name uncultured bacterium. RNAcentral describes it as "SSU rRNA". It matches the Rfam family "Bacterial small subunit ribosomal RNA", at positions 26 to 518 of the family's 1533-position model. The record is from RNAcentral.
AGGACGAACGCUGGCGGCGUGCUUAACACAUGCAAGUCGAGCGGAAAGGCCCUUCGGGGUACUCGAGCGGCGAACGGGUGAGUAACACGUGAGUAAUCUGCCCCUAGCUCUGGGAUAGCUCCGGGAAACCGGGAUUAAUACCGGAUACGACCACUUUAGACAUCUGUUGUGGUGGAAAGAAUUUUGGCUAGGGAUGAGCUCGCGGCCUAUCAGCUUGUUGGUGGGGUAAUGGCCUACCAAGGCGACGACGGGUAGCCGGCCUGAGAGGGCGACCGGCCACACUGGGACUGAGACACGGCCCAGACUCCUACGGGAGGCAGCAGUGGGGAAUAUUGCGCAAUGGGCGAAAGCCCGACGCAGCGACGCCGCGUGGGGGAUGAAGGCCUUCGGGUUGUAAACCCUUUCAGCAGGGACGAAGCGAAAGUGACGGUACCUGCAGAGAGCGCCGGCUAACUACGCGCCAGCAGCCGC